GCUAUCCGCUAAACACUGGACAGAACUGGACAACCAGUACAUUCCGGUGGAGAGAUAGCCAGUCUUAGCCGAAAGGCUCCGUUAGGAAGGUCAUGAUACCAACAGGUGCUUUCCAGCCUGCUGCUCUAUCGCCAAGAAUUAAACAGAGUAUUUAGCUAGAUCCGUGUUCUUGGCGCAACAAGCCUUCCUAACAUUGACUAGGAAAACAUCAC
Molecule: non-coding RNA, 212 nt
Organism: Scytonema millei VB511283
Lineage: Bacteria; Bacillati; Cyanobacteriota; Cyanophyceae; Nostocales; Scytonemataceae
Source: Rfam